AGCGAACGCUAGCGGCGGGCUUAACACAUGCAAGUCGAGCGCGUGGCUUCGGCCACGAGCGGCGAACGGGUGAGUAACACGUAGGUCAUCUGCCCUUUGGUGGGGAAUAACCCGAGGAAACUCGGGCUAAUACCGCAUACUGCCUUCGGGUCAAAGGCUUCGGCCGCCAGAGGAUGAGCCUGCGUCGCAUUACCUAGUUGGUGGGGUAAUGGCCCACCAAGGGGACGAUGCGUAGCUGGUCUGAGAGGAUGAUCAGCCACACUGGGACUGAGACACGGCCCAGACCUCCGUACGGGAGCAGCAGGUAGGGAAUAUUGCGACAAGUGGGACGAAACGCCUAGA
RNAcentral lists this ribosomal RNA (342 nucleotides) under uncultured bacterium. RNAcentral describes it as "bacterial SSU rRNA". It matches the Rfam family "Bacterial small subunit ribosomal RNA", at positions 29 to 386 of the family's 1533-position model. The record is from RNAcentral.